Long non-coding RNA from Gallus gallus (chicken), 645 nucleotides. NCBI's taxonomy places the organism in Eukaryota, Metazoa, Chordata, Aves, Galliformes, Phasianidae. The record is from Ensembl.
GAAUGUUGGAUGCUCCUGUGUGCAGCCAGGAGUUGGACUCAAUGAUCCUUGUGGGUCCCUCCAACUUGGGCUAUUCUAUGAUUUUAUGACCAAUGCUACAAGCCUUAACAACACUUUUUGUCAAUAGCUACAUGAAAGAUCUUCUCUUCCCUAGCUGGAUGGCCACAUACAAUUCUACAACUGAAAUCUGCCCAGAAAUCAUUUGUCCAGAAAAUCAUCAGCUCUAGCACCGACCGUGACUAGUUCAUUCACGGACCUCUCUCCUUCAUCUGUCAGAUACCAUCUUGUUUCAGAAGAAAUAUUUUAGAUACUUGAGAUCAACCUUCAACUUUGGUGACCUUGUUUGUCUUGGCCUUCUAAUCCUGAUCCGAGUGCAGCGUGAAGCGAUCUCAGAAACAUUGGCAGUUGUCUGGGCUAACGUGUGGAAGACACGUGAAGAAUUGCUCGACUGGAAAGGUGAAAUCUGAAUGUAUAACUGUGUAUAAAUGGGGGAAAAAUGAACUGUAAAUUUAUAGACAAGUCAACUUCUCUUCAUAUCCUAGAAAAAAAGAUAACAAGAAGAAUGGCAGCAAGGAUGAAUUUGCCAAGGAGAUUCCUUGUCCAAUCAAUCUAAUUUUCUUCGUGAAAGAAUAAAAGGUUUUGUUG